This 395-nucleotide unclassified non-coding RNA is filed under the name soil metagenome. Its description in RNAcentral is "partial contains 5.8S ribosomal RNA, internal transcribed spacer 2, and large subunit ribosomal RNA". The stretch from base 1 to 120 matches the Rfam family "5.8S ribosomal RNA", at positions 35 to 154 of the family's 154-position model. The record is from RNAcentral.
GAUGAAGAACGCAGCGAAAUGCGAUAAGUAAUGUGAAUUGCAGAAUUCAGUGAAUCAUCGAAUCUUUGAACGCACCUUGCGCCUUUUGGUAUUCCGAAAGGCACACCUGUUUGAGCGUCAUGAAUACCUCAAUCUCCAUCUUUUCUUCGGAUUGAUGGGUGACUUGGAUGUUGAGCCCUGCUGGUAUGCUAUAUCAGCUGGCUUUAAACUUAUUAGCCGGCUCUGUACUGGAUCGGUUUGACUCGACGUGAUAAUAUUAUCGUUGAGGAUGCAUGUCUCAUGCAGCCGGAAAGUAUCAAAGCAGCUUCUAGCUUGCAUUUAGUGCACUUUUACAUUUUAGACCUCAGAUCAGGUGGGACUACCCGCUGAACUUAAGCAUAUCAAUAAGCGGAGGA